UGGGGAAUAUUGGACAAUGGGCGAAAGCCUGAUCCAGCCAUGCCGCGUGUGUGAAGAAGGUCUUCGGAUUGUAAAGCACUUUAAGUUGGGAGGAAGGGCAUUAACCUAAUACGUUAGUGUUUUGACGUUACCGACAGAAUAAGCACCGGCUAACUCUGUGCCAGCAGCCGCGGUAAUACAGAGGGUGCAAGCGUUAAUCGGAAUUACUGGGCGUAAAGCGCGCGUAGGUGGUUUGUUAAGUUGGAUGAGAAAUCCCCGGGCUCAACCUGGGAACUGCAUUCAAAACUGACUGACUAGAGUAUGGUAGAGGGUGGUGGAAUUUCCUGUGUAGCGGUGAAAUGCGUAGAUAUAGGAAGGAACACCAGUGGCGAAGGCGACCACCUGGACUAAUACUGACACUGAGGUGCGAAAGCGUGGGGAGCAAACA
Molecule: ribosomal RNA, 427 nt
Filed under: uncultured bacterium
Lineage: Bacteria
Description: partial 16S ribosomal RNA
Rfam family: Bacterial small subunit ribosomal RNA
Source: RNAcentral